Molecule: ribosomal RNA, 464 nt
Filed under: uncultured Klebsiella sp.
Lineage: Bacteria; Pseudomonadati; Pseudomonadota; Gammaproteobacteria; Enterobacterales; Enterobacteriaceae
Description: bacterial SSU rRNA
Rfam family: Bacterial small subunit ribosomal RNA
Source: RNAcentral
CUACGGGCGGCAGCAGUGGGGAAUAUUGCACAAUGGGCGCAAGCCUGAUGCAGCCAUGCCGCGUGUGUGAAGAAGGCCUUCGGGUUGUAAAGCACUUUCAGCGGGGAGGAAGGCGGUGAGGUUAAUAACCUCAUCGAUUGACGUUACCCGCAGAAGAAGCACCGGCUAACUCCGUGCCAGCAGCCGCGGUAAUACGGAGGGUGCAAGCGUUAAUCGGAAUUACUGGGCGUAAAGCGCACGCAGGCGGUCUGUCAAGUCGGAUGUGAAAUCCCCGGGCUCAACCUGGGAACGGCAUUCGAAACUGGCAGGCUAGAGUCUUGUAGAGGAGGGUAGAAUUCCAGGUGUAGCGGUGAAAUGCGUAGAGAUCUGGAGGAAUACCGGUGGCGAAGGCGGCCCCCUGGACAAAGACUGACGCUCAGGUGCGAAAGCGUGGGGAGCAAACAGGAUUAGAUACCCGGGUAGUC